GGUUUUUGGAAUUUAUCAAAAAUCUAACCUGCUCAAUGUUUAUAUAAAUAGCCGCGGUAUCAUGACCGUGCAAAGGUAGCAUAAUAAUUAGUCUUUUAAUUGGGGACUGGAAUGAAUGGUUUAACUAAAUAUUUUUGUCUUAUAUUUGUAUUUCUAAUUUUAUAUUUUAAUAAAAAAGUUAAAAUGUUCUUAAGGGACGAGAAGACCCUAUCAAGCUUUAUAAUUAUUUGUUUAUUUUCAAAUUAAAUAAAAUAUUAUUUUGCUGGGGCAGCAAAUAAUAAAAAUAUUAUUUAUAUAUUGUAGUUUCAAACUUUUAACAAACAAAAAAUUUUUAAAAAGAAAUAAGUUACUGUAGGGAUAACAGCAUAAUUUUUUUUAAGAGUUCUUAUCAUCAAAAAAGUUUGUGACCUCGAUGUUGGAUUAAGAUUCCUAAUUUGCGCAGUAGCAAUAAAAAGGAAGUCUGUUCGACUUUUAAAAUCUUCCA
Molecule: ribosomal RNA, 484 nt
Filed under: Brachistosternus pentheri
Lineage: Eukaryota; Metazoa; Arthropoda; Arachnida; Scorpiones; Bothriuridae
Description: partial 16S ribosomal RNA
Rfam family: Archaeal large subunit ribosomal RNA
Source: RNAcentral